GAUGAACGCUGGCGGCGUGCUUAACACAUGCAAGUCGAACGAAGCUACCCAAAGGAAGUUUUCGGAUGGAAUUUAGGUAGACUUAGUGGCGGACGGGUGAGUAACGCGUGGAUAACCUGCCUUAUACAGGGGGAUAACGGAGAGAAAUUUCCGCUAACACCGCAUAAGACCACAGCACCGCAUGGUGCAGGGGUAAAAUAUUUAUAGGUAUAAGAUGGAUCCGCGUCCGAUUAGCUAGUUGGUGAGGUAAAGGCCCACCAAGGCGACGAUCGGUAGCCGGCCUGAGAGGGUGAACGGCCACAUUGGGACUGAGACACGGCCCAAACUCCUACGGGAGGCAGCAGUGGGGAAUAUUGGACAAUGGGGGAAACCCUGAUCCAGCGACGCCGCGUGAGUGAAGAAGUAUUUCGGUAUGUAAAGCUCUAUCAGCAGGGAAGAAAAUGACGGUACCUGACUAAGAAGCCCCGGCUAACUACGUGCCAGCAGCCGCGGUAAUACGUAGGUGGCAAGCGUUGUCCGGAUUUAUUGGGCGUAAAGCGAGCGCAGGCGGUUCUUUAAGUCUGAUGUGAAAGCCCCCGGCUCAACCGGGGAGGGUCAUUGGAAACUGGAGAACUUGAGUGCAGAAGAGGAGAGUGGAACUCCACGUGUAGCGGUGAAAUGCAUAGAUAUGUGGAGGAAUACCGAAGGCGAAGGCAGCCCCUUGGGAAUGCUCGGACGCUCAGGUGCGAAAGCGUGAGGAGAAACAGGAAUAAGAUACUCUUUGUAGUUCAGGCGAUUCCGAGUGGGGGCUGCAGCGCGGGGGACCCACGGGCUCAGGAGGGAGCGGACGAGGGAGCUCGAGUCGAGCAAUAAGUAUAUAUAAAAGAUAU
This 869-nucleotide ribosomal RNA is filed under the name uncultured Agrobacterium sp. RNAcentral's name for it is "bacterial SSU rRNA". It matches the Rfam family "Bacterial small subunit ribosomal RNA", at positions 28 to 873 of the family's 1533-position model. The record is from RNAcentral. Lineage: Bacteria; Pseudomonadati; Pseudomonadota; Alphaproteobacteria; Hyphomicrobiales; Rhizobiaceae.